CCUAGGGGGGCAGCAGUGGGGAAUAUUGGACAAUGGGGGCAACCCUGAUCCAGCCAUGCCGCGUGUGUGAAGAAGGCCCUCGGGUUGUAAAGCACUUUCAGUGAGGAAGAACGCCUGGUGGUUAAUACCCAUCAGGAAAGACAUCACUCACAGAAGAAGCACCGGCUAACUCCGUGCCAGCAGCCGCGGUAAUACGGAGGGUGCGAGCGUUAAUCGGAAUUACUGGGCGUAAAGCGCGCGUAGGUGGCUUGAUAAGCCGGUUGUGAAAGCCCCGGGCUCAACCUGGGAACGGCAUCCGGAACUGUCAAGCUAGAGUGCAGGAGAGGAAGGUAGAAUUCCCGGUGUAGCGGUGAAAUGCGUAGAGAUCGGGAGGAAUACCAGUGGCGAAGGCGGCCUUCUGGACUGACACUGACACUGAGGUGCGAAAGCGUGGGUAGCAAACAGGAUUAGAUACCCGUGUAGUC
This 464-nucleotide ribosomal RNA is filed under the name Vreelandella stevensii. Its description in RNAcentral is "partial 16S ribosomal RNA". It matches the Rfam family "Bacterial small subunit ribosomal RNA", at positions 338 to 795 of the family's 1533-position model. The record is from RNAcentral. Lineage: Bacteria; Pseudomonadati; Pseudomonadota; Gammaproteobacteria; Oceanospirillales; Halomonadaceae.